Long non-coding RNA from Peromyscus californicus insignis, 4694 nucleotides. RefSeq lists it as uncharacterized. Lineage: Eukaryota; Metazoa; Chordata; Mammalia; Rodentia; Cricetidae. The transcript has 3 exons. The record is from RefSeq and is a predicted model, not a curated record.
CAGCGCCUGCACCAUCUCCACCAGCACCCACUGCUCCGCCACUGUCGCCAUGGUCAGCCACCCGGCUUCCGGCAGGCAGGUCAUAGUGCGCGGCGCGGACUAGUGACGUCACAAAACCUUGAGGGCGGGGCCGGGAGUUGGGCAUCGGCUCCUCAAGCAUGUCAGUAGUUUCUAGACCAGGAAGGUGAAGACAGUUGAUCAUACAGAGAGACAGGAAGUGACAGAGUUGCGCAGGAAGAGGAAAUGAUGUAGCUGGGUGGAGAGAGGGAAUGAGAUGGCAGAACAGAAAGGCAUAUAGGUGUGGGUAUACAGGAAGAGUAGGUCCCUUUGGAGAAUGAGGUGUCAAUGAGGUACCAGGGAUGCACUUGUACACGGACAUACAUGCAAUACCCAUACACGUAAGAUAAAUUAGUGAUGAUGACAAUGACGAUGACGACGACAAUGAUGAUGAUAAAGUUUGUAUAUACGGUGGAUUACAUUUAUCAAUGUACACAUGGUGAACCAUUCUUGCAUUCUGGGAUAAAGUCUACUUGAUCAUGGUGGAUAAUCUUUUUGAAGUUUCUUGUAUUUGGUUUACAAAAGUAUUUUAUUGAGAAUUUUUGCAUCUAUGUUAAUAAGGGAAAUUGGUAUGUAUUUCUCUUUCUUUGUUGAGUCUUUAUGUGUGGUGAUAUUGUGUUCCCCAAAAUAUUGUGUACCCUAAUAAAUUUAUCUGGGGUUAGAGAACAGAACAGCCACUAGAUAUAGAGCCCAGAAAAUGGUGGCACACACGCCUUUAAUCCUAGCAUUCCAGAGGCAGAAAUCUGUCUGGAUCUCUGUGAGUUCAAGGCCACACUAGAAACAGCCAGGCAUGAUGACUCAUGCCUUUAAUCCCAGGAAGUGAACCUUUAAUCCCAGGAAGUGAUGGCAGAAAGCAGAAAGGUAUAUAAGGCAUGAGGACCAGGAACUAGAGCUGGUUAAGCUUUUAAGCUUUUGAGCAGCAGUUCAGCUGAGAUUCAUUCUGGAUAAGGACUCAGAGGCUUCCAGUCUGAGGAAACAAGACCAGCUAAUGGAUUGGCAAGGUGAGGUUAGCAGUGGCUUGUUCUGCUUCUCUGAUCUUUCAGAGUUCACCCCAAUACCUGGCUUCAGGUUUGAUUUUGUUAAUAAGAAGUUUUAAGAUUCGUGCUACAUCUAUGUGGUUUGGGUAUUAGGGUAACUGUGACCUCAUAAAAUGAAUCCAACAAUGUUCCUUCUGUUUCUAUUUUGUGCAAUAAUUUGAGGAGGAGUUUUGGCAUUAAUUCUUCUUUAAAAGUCUGAUAGAAUUCUGCACUAAAACCAUCUAAAGCCAUCUAGCCCUGUGGUUUUUUUGCUUGGGAGACUUUUAAUGACUGCUUCUAUUUCAUUAGGGUUUAUAGGUUUGUUUAAAUUGUUUAUCUGAUCUUGAUUUAACUUUGGUGGGUGGUAUAUAUCAAGAAAAUAAUCCAUUUCUCUUAGCUUUUUCAACUUAGUAGAUUAUAGGUUUUUAAAGUAUGUCCUUUUGAUUCUCUAUAUUUCCUUGGUGGUUAUUUUUUGCUAUGUCCCCUCUUCAUUUAUAAUUUUCUUAAUUUGGAUAUACUCUCUCUGUCUUUUAGUCAAUUUAGAUAAGGAUUUGUCAAUCUUACUGAUUUUUCUCAAAGAACCAACUCUUUUUUUUUUUAAUCAGUUCUUUGUACUGUUCUCUUUGCUUCCAGUUUAUUGAUUUCAGUCCUCAGUUUGACUAUUUCUUGAUGUCUACUUCUCUUGGGUGUGUUUCCUUCUUUUUGUUCUAGAGCUUCAAGCAGGCUGUUAAGUUGAUAGUAUGAUAUCUCUGCAUUUUUUAAUGUAGGCACUUAGUGCUAUGAACUUUCCUCUUAGUACCACUUUCAUUGUGUCCCAUAAGUUUCAGUAUGCUGUGUAUUCAUUUUUAUUGUUCUAGACAGUCUUUAAUUUCUUUCUUCAUUUCUAUCCUGACACACUUUUUAUUCAGUAGAGAGCUGUUCAGUUUCCAUGAGUUUGUAGGCUUUCUGUUAGAUAUCCAGCUAAUUUGUCAUGGUCUGAUAGGAUACAGGAAGUUAUUUCAAAUUUCUUGUAUCUGUUGAGACUUGAUUUGUGUCCAAGUAUGUGGUCAGUUUUUGAGAUAGCUCCAUGAGAUGCUGAGAAGGUACAUUGGUUUGGUUUAUGUGAAAUGUUCUGUAAACAUUUGUUAGGUCCAUUUGGUUUACAACCUAUUAGCAGUCUCUUAGCUCCAGUAUUUCUCUGUUUAGUUUUUGUCUGCAUGACUGGUCUGUGGAUAGAGUGGGGUAUUGAAGUCUCCCACUCUCAGUGUGUGUCAAUAUGUGAUUUAAGCUGUAGUAGUGUUUCUUUUAUAAAACAUGGUGCCCUUGUGUUUGAUGUAGAGACGUUAAGAAUUGAAAUGUCAUCCUGGUGGAUUUUCCCUUUGAUGAGUAUGUAGUUUCCUUCUCUAUCUCUUUUGAUUAAUUUUGGUUUGAAGUCUAUUUUGUUAGAUAUUAAAAUAGCCACACCAGCUUUCUUCUUAAGUCCAUUUGCUUGAAAUAUCUUCUUCCAACCUUUUACUCUGAGAUAAUGUGUACCCUUGAUGUUGAGGUGUGUUUCUUGUAUGCAUCAGAAGAAUAGAUCACGUUUUAGCAUCUAUUCUGUUAGUCUGUAUCUUUUUAUUGGGGAAUUGAGAUCAUUGGUAUUGAGAGAUAUCAAUGAGCAGUGUUUGUUGAUUCCCAUUUUUUAAAUUUUUGUGGUGUGGAGUUUUGUCCCUCCUCUUUUGAUUUGUUGCUCUGAGAUUAUUUAUUCCUUGUGUUUUCUUGGGUAGGGUUAACCUUUCAAAGUUGAAAAUUUCCUUCUAGUGCCUUCUGUAGAGCUAAAUUCUGAGGUUCCUAUUCGAGUUCCUAAACUUUUCAUUUUCAGUUUUUCUUCAGUUUGGGUUUUCUUUAUUGAUUCUAUUUCUACUUUCAUGUCUUGGACUGUUUUCUUCAUUUCAUUUCACAGUUUUGCGUUUUCAUUUAUUUCAUUAAUGGAUUCAUUCGUUUCCUCUGUAAGGACCUUGAACACAUUCAUUAUAGUUAUUUGAAGUCCUUGUCUUGUGUUUCAGCUGUAUUGCAUUUCUCAGGCCCUACCUUAGUAGAGUUGAUGGGCUCUAGUGGAGACAUAUUUUCUUCACUGUUAUUGUGUUUUUAUGUUGGCAUCUAGGUAUCUGUGUUCGGGAAAAUUGUAAUUCUAGGUGCCGAUACCCUUCUUGUCGUUGUUGGCUGGGUGUUCCAUCCCGUGGUUUCUGUUGCCCUCUCUGGUUCUUGGAGAGUUGUGCCUGAGGUUUGCCUGGUAUGCAAUGCUUCUGAGAUCCUGUCAGAUGUGGCCACUGGGGGUCCCUGGAUAGAUCUGACACUUAGGGAUGGAGAUGGGCUAGAGGCGCAGUGCAAAAGGAUCCAUAGGAGAGAGGAAAGCCAGGUUCCCCCCCUAGGAGCUGACACCAUGCAUUCCCAGCUGAAGGCUCCCAAGCAAUCGGCAUUCCUGUGUCUUCAUUGUCUAGGGCAUGGAGUCUGGGGGGCGGGGCAGGCCUUUCAUUGUCCAAGGAAUGGAGACAGGACCUAGAUAGAGACUGUCUCCACAUAGGACCACUCAUGGCGGCCCAUAACCUGGGCGCGAAAGUCCUAUAGUCUUAGGGAGACAGGAGCAAUGAGGCCAAGGGCCUCGACCUCAGGGUAUUGGUGCAUCAGCCCCACACAGGCCUCUACUCUGUUCUAGAGCCUCACUUGAAUGUCCAACAAUUAGCCCUUACCCAGCCCCCCUUCUGGCCACACCCACGCUUUGUGUCAGUCUCUCAGGAAAUGACCAAAAUGAGGCUUUAAGCUUAUAACUUGAUUGGCCUGUACCUUUAUCAGUUUUUUGGCUGAUAAAGUUUGUAUCACAUGGCCACCACACAAUCAACUGUAACCUGACUUACUGUGUAACCAGGAGUUUAAUAUUGCAGUAUAAAAUUAUCAAAGUAGCCAUUCAUCCAAACAAUCACAGCAAUGAUGCUUCAACCAAUCACAUGCUACCAGUGGAUCACAUGAUGCCUGGGACCUGUUGCCUGCAUCCAAUCAGGCAGUUUCAGAAUGGUUUGCAGCUCUUUGGCAGUUUAACUGCCGGGUCUGCAGUGCUGCCGCAGGGCCUUGUUCAUGUAAUUGUUGUGUGCUUUCCUGUAAGGAUCCUCACUCAGGCACAAGCAGAGAACCUGUCUGUGUCCUCCAAGGCUUUUGUGGGGAACUCAGAGGUGACUGGGUUGCUGGACCUUGAAUGGGAAGCUGAAUUGCCUGGCAAUAUAGAAGCCACAGCAUCUGGGACCACUGACCUCACGCUCAGAGUCACAUUGCUGAGUGUAGCCAGGCCUGAGAGCCUUGCAGCAUCUGGCAUUGGGAAGAUGGUGACAGCAGAGUUCAACACAAGGGAGGGGUGGAGGGGGCUGUGGGGACCAGAAAGUGGAGGAGGUUGCUAGGGGAGUGCAGGAGCAAUGCCCUGAAGGGGCAGGGAAAGCCAAAGGGUCCCUGCCAACUCAGGCUCUACACUGCCCCCUGUGGGCUCCUGGAAAGGUGCAGGCCUCCACAUUGCAGCUUAAAUAGACACCACAUCCAGGCUUCUGGCUCACCCUUUCCAUAGCGAGUAACAUUUGAUUACUCUCUGAUUCCACUGUCCAUGUCACCCUCUCUCUA